UGCCACCGAGGGCUGAUGGAGGUAGAAGUCCACACAGGAGACGUUGCCUUCUAAGUAGAGUAGCAGUGCUUUUGCUGGUGUCAUGAUUGGAAGGUGAGGAGUACAAGACUUUUCAUUAGACCACCUGAUGGGGCUGAAACAAUUACUUUAAGGCAGCUUCUCCGGGUGGUGCCCGGGGACGUGAGGAGCAGCAUUGCUUGUCCCUGAGCUUCUUGCCCUGGGAAGGGCAGUGAGGUGCAUGGCUGCACUGGCUGAGCCCCAGAUCCCGCACGAGCCAUCAUCGUUGAGCACGAGCCAUCAUCGUUGAGCACGAGCCAUCAUCGUUGAGCACGAGCCAUCAUCGUUGAGCACGAGCCAUCAUCGUUGAGCACGAGCCAUCAUCGUUGAGCACGAGCCAUCAUCGUUGAGCACGAGCCAUCAUCGUUGAGCACGAGCCAUCAUCAUUGAGCACCAGCCAUCAUUGAGCAUGCCGGUGUUCUCUCUGCUGCUCUGAGUCGCUUUUGAGGCUGCCAACCAAUGGCGUAAAUCAGGUUAGAUCUGCGAGGGCUCCUGAGUUCAAGUCUUCUCCUGAUGGCUGGUGAUGAAAGCGAGCAAGGAGCUUGGUAACAGCAAGAAAUGGAGCAGACGGUGCCAGUAAUCUGACACUUGCUGCAUGUUUGGAGCAAACGAAGCAAGGGAUGGAGCUGCCCUGGACUAAUGGCUGUGUUUCAGACAGUAAAUGUGGCUGUGCAAGGGAGCGGGAGUUGCUCUCUGUGCAGAGUCAGUGCAAGACUUGUUCCCCUGGUAGGUCUCCCAUAUCGUUUUCAAAGUUUUGGCGAAGAGUAGCAAUACACCCAAUCCCACGACUUCAGGAAAAGUCAGGCCCUUUACCCCUUCUCAUCUUCUAACAAAAACAAAUAUGUAUUGGGCUCCUUUGUUUUGAUUUCUGUGAGGUUCCACCUGAAUUAAUGUUCUCUAAUGUCUCUCUGCAAAUAGGUCAGCCACAAUUUUUAAAUAAUUAUUAUUAUUAUUAAUAAAUGAAUAGUAAUUUUCUUCUGCAAUCCCUUCCUUCCCAGAGGGGGUGCUUUAAGAAAUACGCUCCAGCUUGGGGCAGACGGCUGUUGCCUCAUGCCGCGCUCCCGGCGUGGCGGAUGGGACCCGGGACCUGCGCGGCCCCGCAGGUGACAGGUGCCUCUCCUUCCUUGCCUCGUGGAUACAGGGGCCUUUUACAAGUACGAAUUGUUAUGCAGGUAGUAUGAUGCGUCUCUUUGGUCCCAGGAGU
RNAcentral lists this long non-coding RNA (1261 nucleotides) under Columba livia (rock pigeon). RNAcentral describes it as "partial uncharacterized LOC102089996". The record is from RNAcentral. Lineage: Eukaryota; Metazoa; Chordata; Aves; Columbiformes; Columbidae.